Molecule: long non-coding RNA, 703 nt
Filed under: Rattus norvegicus (Norway rat)
Lineage: Eukaryota; Metazoa; Chordata; Mammalia; Rodentia; Muridae
Description: long non-coding RNA NONRATT008431
Source: RNAcentral
UGCUCCCUCAACAAUCACUGAAGCUGUCUCCAUACAAGAGGCUGAGGACACAAGGCAUGAACCUGCACCCCAACAUUCUCAAACCUCAAAAUCACAGGUUCAGUCAACCAUGACAAGACCGGGAAACUACUUAAGAGAUUUGCGACAGCGGGACUGGACGGCUCAGUGGUUAAGAAUGCCUACUGCAAACAACCUGGGAUUCAUCCCUAGGCAAUCUGACACCCUCUUUGGACAUCUUUGUGCCCCUUGAUAACAUGGACUGGACAUGGUGACGAAUGCCUUUGAUCCAGCACUGAUCCCAGCUCACAGGGUGUAGAUCUGUGAGUUCCUCAGCCAGACUGAUCUACAGAGCAAGUUCUGGGACAGCCAGGACGAUUAAAAGACAGAGAAACCCUGUCACAAAAAGCCAAAUGAAUGAAUGAAUGAAUGAAUGAAUGAAGACAUCCUGAAAGACCUUGAAGUCUCAGUCUCACCAUCACAGAACCCACCAGCAAAAAGUCCUACCUCACAUUUUCAGUGGCAUUCCCUAAUGCAAGCUGUCUGCAUCACAGAAGCUAAUAAAAUCUGGACUCUGAGGAGAGCUAGUAGUGGGAGUCAGUUGUCUCCUUCCAAGUCUGAACAUGUGCAGGCUACCGACAUGCAAUAAAUUUUUCUUUUAAAGUGUAAAGCGAGAUUCUACCAAAAAAAAAAAAAAAAUUACAGU